GAGCGGUGAUGGAUUCGCAUGCCACGGCGGGCUCCCUGCCACUGUGCAGCCAACCGCCGUUGCUGCAGCCCCUUCACCCGUGCUCCAACCACUCGGAGCCUUCCGUGUUGCCUGUACAACAUACCCGGUUCUCGGGCAAAUGACUUCGUCCAACAUGCUCGUCCUCUCCCCUCGCCUUUGUGCGGGCGCGGAGCGGCAAUGUCGGCGGUCCUCGUGCUCCCUCGGACGACGGCACGGCUUUGGCCCCUCGUCUCGUCCCGAUCGGCCCUCGGGGAUUCGCNAGNGCUCGCGGACACGGUAGACAAUGUUGGCUCGGGGCUUUCGUACCCCGCACCACGAUCGGUCGGCUCNCUUCGCCGCCCUCGACGAGACGACCGUCGCGCCCGUCGUCCCCCCACCACUCGCU
RNAcentral lists this unclassified non-coding RNA (406 nucleotides) under Heliconia vaginalis. RNAcentral describes it as "partial external transcribed spacer". Lineage: Eukaryota; Viridiplantae; Streptophyta; Magnoliopsida; Zingiberales; Heliconiaceae. The record is from RNAcentral.